AAGUCGUAACAAGGUUUCCGUAGGUGAACCUGCGGAAGGAUCAUUAUUGAGUUUUAAAGUUCUAUAGUUAACUGUCUUGUGCAGUUGAUUGUAGUUCUUUUCUUAUCUCUUAUCCCUUUUGUUAUUAUUUCUUAGUUGCUUUGGCAGUUGAUUUUGUUAUCUUCUGCCAAACGGCUUUUUCAAACACUUUGUUAUCCAACAAUUAAGAUAUCUUUUGUCUAAUUCUUACGACUUGAAUAAGUAUGUAAAACUUUCAACAACGGAUCUCUUGGUUCUG
This 277-nucleotide unclassified non-coding RNA is filed under the name fungal sp. RNAcentral describes it as "partial internal transcribed spacer region". The stretch from base 1 to 46 matches the Rfam family "Eukaryotic small subunit ribosomal RNA", at positions 1786 to 1831 of the family's 1831-position model. Lineage: Eukaryota; Fungi. The record is from RNAcentral.